RNAcentral lists this ribosomal RNA (253 nucleotides) under uncultured bacterium. RNAcentral's name for it is "partial 16S ribosomal RNA". It matches the Rfam family "Bacterial small subunit ribosomal RNA", at positions 524 to 776 of the family's 1533-position model. The record is from RNAcentral.
UACGAAGGGGGCUAGCGUUGUUCGGAUUUACUGGGCGUAAAGCGCACGUAGGCGGAUCGUUAAGUCGGGGGUGAAAUCCUGGAGCUCAACUCCAGAACUGCCUUUGAUACUGGCAAUCUCGAGUCCGGAAGAGGUGAGUGGAACUCCUAGUGUAGAGGUGGAAUUCGUAGAUAUUAGGAAGAACACCAGUGGCGAAGGCGGCUCACUGGUCCGGUACUGACGCUGAGGUGCGAAAGCGUGGGGAGCAAACAGG